Molecule: long non-coding RNA, 387 nt
Organism: Priapulus caudatus
Lineage: Eukaryota; Metazoa; Priapulida; Priapulimorpha; Priapulimorphida; Priapulidae
Exons: 3
Source: RefSeq, a predicted model, not a curated record
CGGAGCUUGACGAAGCCUUCCUGGUUAAGCUUGAUUCUGUCACGAGAGGGCGACUUGGUGACAAUGCUAAGGUCAUCUUCUUCUCUAACCGUUCUUGCAAAUGAUGACCCGUAUGGAGUGUUUAGCAUUGACCAAACUGCUAGACCUAUACUGGUGGAGGAAGCCAGUAAAGAUGUUGAGAUGAAAGUGUUACGACAUGGCGGUGACAUGGGUAUGGUGAUGGUCAACUACACCACUCUGAGCCUACAGAUUUCUUCCCCAUAUUUACCACUAGUUGUUUGGAAGAGCAGGAGAACUGGAUUUUAUGCCCGCUAAAAGGCACAGUGGUAUUUCAGCCCAACCAGACGAAUGCUACAUUUCGGAUUAACCAUUUUGGACGAUAACAUU